Long non-coding RNA from Vespula vulgaris, 1972 nucleotides. RefSeq lists it as uncharacterized. The record is from RefSeq and is a predicted model, not a curated record. The transcript is spliced from 2 exons. NCBI's taxonomy places the organism in Eukaryota, Metazoa, Arthropoda, Insecta, Hymenoptera, Vespidae.
AGUUGACCAGGUAAUGGUGUCGGUUGAAUUUCCUCCUUUGGUAAAGCUGCGGAUUCGCUUGGUACCUCAGUAACACUAGCGAUGCUUAUUCGAAGAAUUAAGGGCACAGGCCGAUACGAGGAAACGAUUUGAUGCUUUGGGAAGGGAAGUAUGCUCUCGUAGGAGGGCACCGUGCCAGGAAGCCGAUAUUGUCGACGAGACCCUGUAGAGAGUGUGUAGGGUCUCUAUAUCUAUUUCUAUCUCUCUCUAUCUCUCUCUCUCUCUCUCUCUCUCUCUCUCUCUCUGUCUGUCUGUCUAUCAUUUAAUCGAAUUGUUAACUUUCAAUCGAAACAACAACGAAAUGUAAUUUUCGUCGUCGUUCGUAGAAUUAAUUUCAAUCGUAAUGAAUUCAAUAAUCGAAUUAAUCAAUCCAAUCAAAUUCGGAUCAACUGAAAUUUUUGUUAUUGUUUGAAAAAAAAAAAAAAAAAAAAAAUUGUCCAGAGAACUCGUCACGAUCGCUUUUACGAUUUAAUUUUGUCCGUUCGAAUUGUUAACUUUUUUCCAAUCGAAACUUUUCCAUUUGAAAUUUACUUUGAUAUUACAUCGUCAGUCGUGAAAUUUAUUUGGGAAAACUUUUCGAUUGAAAAACUGAUCGGACGACGAAGUUCGGACGAAUUGAAAAUUUUUGUCGUUUGAAAAAAAAAAUAUAUAUAUAUAUAUAUGUAUGUAUUGAUACAAGAAGCAAAAUUGUGUAGAAAUCUCGUUUGCGAUCGCGAACAAUAAGUUCGAUCGAUUGACGAACUUUUGAAUUAAUUUCAUUUCGAAAGUCCAACGAAACUUUACUUUGUUGUUUGCGACAUUGUUUAAUAAAAAAGGAAACAAGAGAAAUGUAAAAAAGAAAUAAAAUAAAAAUAGAGAAAGAAAGAUAGAAUGUGCGUGAAACAAAUCAAAUCAACUAACAUUGCGACAAAAAUGGAUUUUAAUAUUCGUAAGAUUAUAAUCGUACCGAUAUAUUUCUUCGGAUAUAAUUUUUUUUUCACUCCUGAGAUGAUCACUCCUAACGUUAUAAUUACGAUUACACCGAUAGGAGGAGUGAUCGUUUAAAAAAAAAAAUAUAUAUAUAUAUAUAUAUUACACGAUUGAACGUAACGAUGAAAAAUUUCAUAUUUACGUAAAAGUACCAAGUCGAUAACAAAUUUCUCUAUUUCUCAAUAAACUGAGAUAACAGAAAUCAAAUAGUUGAAAAUAGUCUGAAAGGAAAAAUUAAUAUACGAUAAUAAAUUAUUUGUAAUCGAUAUAUCGAAUGUUAUCAAUGAUUAAUAUUAUAGAUAAUCCACAAGUUUCGAACCACCCACUCGAAAAUCGUUGUAUAAUCGAGGCCAUAGAGAAAAUUCAUUCUAUUCAACGUGAACACGUGAAACCCGUUGGGCAAAACGAAAAUUUUGCAAAUGGUACGGUAGACCAAUGAAACCCAUUAGUAAUAUUGUUCUUGGUCAAGUGCCAAUCGAUUUCACAGAGCCAAUGUAUACAAAAAGAUUUUCCUGGAGGAAUUGCACACAGCGAAAUUACUGUUUAGAACGUUGACGUUGAAACCUCAACAUUAUUUCUAUUCGAAUUAAAUGCACGUGGUGUUAUUCACACACCGAUGAAAUUUCAAAUUUAGAUAAUAUUUAUUAGCUAACAAGAGACUCUCUAUGCCUAUCUCUGUCUCCUUCUAUGUUUCUCUCUUUCACGCUCUAAAACUAAUAAUAAAGAGAAUGAAAACGGUAUUUCAAAAAAAAAAAAAAAAGAAAAAGAAAAAAAAAUACGAGAAGGAUACACUAACAUGACGCUCGUAAUCUUUCUCUCUCUCACACACACAUGCGUACGCAUAUAUAAAGAGAGAAAGAAAGAAAGAGAGAGAGAGAGAGACAUAUAUACGCGCAUAAAAAUUCUAAAAUUGAUAAGAAAGCAUAUAAAAAUAGUAUAAAAAAUAAUAUAUAUAUAUAUAUAU